CAUCCUAGCAAUUGCACUCUGUCCCAUAUUCCAACACUCACAAAAAGGGUUCCUUUAUAGGUUAGCUCAUUCUUUCAAUGGAUAUGUAUUCAGAGUGAGCCUGACUAUCACUGUAUUCAUUUUCAAGGCAUUUUACUGUAUAGUUUUGGAGAAAACUAAAAGCAAAAUCACCCAAAACAUCAAACUCCUUCGUUGCACUUGGUUUAUUUACGUAUAUUUAAACACUCAUAAAAAAUGUUCCUUUAUAGGUUAGCUCAUUCUUUCAAUGGAUAUGUAUUCAGAGUGAGCCUGACUAUCACUGAAUUCAUUUUCAAGGCAUUUUACUGUAUAGUUUUGGAGAAAACUAAAAGCAAAAUCACCCAAAACAACAAAAUGCAUCCUAGCAAUUGCACUCUGUCCCAUUUUCCAACACUCAUAAAAAGGGUU
Cyprinus carpio carpio is the source of this 426-nucleotide long non-coding RNA. The record is from Ensembl. Lineage: Eukaryota; Metazoa; Chordata; Actinopteri; Cypriniformes; Cyprinidae.